This is a non-coding RNA of Panaeolus papilionaceus, 98 nucleotides long. The record is from the annotation of a GenBank genome assembly. NCBI's taxonomy places the organism in Eukaryota, Fungi, Basidiomycota, Agaricomycetes, Agaricales.
GCCCGCCUAGCUCAAUCGGAUAGAGCGUCAGACUUUUAGGCGCUCUGUGGGCGCUGAAGUGAAUCUGAAGGCUGCGAGUUCGACCCUCGCGGUGGGCU